This 343-nucleotide ribosomal RNA is filed under the name uncultured bacterium. RNAcentral's name for it is "bacterial SSU rRNA". It matches the Rfam family "Bacterial small subunit ribosomal RNA", at positions 516 to 859 of the family's 1533-position model. The record is from RNAcentral.
CGCGGUAAUACGUAGGGUGCAAGCGUUAAUCGGAAUUACUGGGCGUAAAGCGUGCGCAGGCGGUUAUAUAAGUCAGAUGUGAAAUCCCCGGGCUCAACCUGGGAACUGCAUUUGAGACUGUAUGGCUAGAGCGUGUCAGAGGGGGGUAGAAUUCCACGUGUAGCAGUGAAAUGCGUAGAUAUGUGGAGGAAUACCGAUGGCGAAGGCAGCCCCCUGGGAUAACACUGACGCUCAUGCACGAAAGCGUGGGGAGCAAACAGGAUUAGAUACCCUGGUAGUCCACGCCCUAAACGAUGUCUACUAGUUGUCGGGUCUUAAUUGACUUGGUAACGCAGCUAACGCG